This 29-nucleotide non-coding RNA is filed under the name Cricetulus griseus (Chinese hamster). The record is from RNAcentral. Lineage: Eukaryota; Metazoa; Chordata; Mammalia; Rodentia; Cricetidae.
AGGAUUGAUUAUCUACUGCUUUGUCUAUG